Molecule: ribosomal RNA, 253 nt
Filed under: uncultured bacterium
Lineage: Bacteria
Description: partial 16S ribosomal RNA
Rfam family: Bacterial small subunit ribosomal RNA
Source: RNAcentral
UACGAAGGGGGCUAGCGUUGUUCGGAAUUACUGGGCGUAAAGCGCGCGUAGGCGGCGCGACAAGUCAGGGGUGAAAUCCCAGAGCUUAACUCUGGAACUGCCUUUGAAACUGUCGUGCUGGAAUCUCAGAGGGGAUAGCGGAAUUCCAAAUGUAGGGGUGAAAUCCGUAGAUAUUUGGAGGAACACCGGUGGCGAAGGCGGCUAUCUGGAUGAGUAUUGACGCUGAGGCGCGAAAGCGUGGGGAUCAAACAGG